RNAcentral lists this long non-coding RNA (643 nucleotides) under Rattus norvegicus (Norway rat). Its description in RNAcentral is "long non-coding RNA NONRATT027880". The record is from RNAcentral. Lineage: Eukaryota; Metazoa; Chordata; Mammalia; Rodentia; Muridae.
CAAGUGAAAAAGAAAACUGACGAUGACGCGGAAGCCAUCUGCUCCAUGUGCAACGCUCUGACCACAGCCCAGAUCGUCAAAGUGUUGAAUCUGUACACACCCGUUAAUGAGUUUGAGGAAAGGGUCUCUGUUUCAUUUAUCCGCACUAUACAGGUGAGAUGCUGUUUUCUUUCUUGCUGCUUCACCAGAAAGUCAUUUGAAUGGAAUAUUCACAAUGUUUUUGGAAGGAUAAUGUGUUUUUAUCUUUUGCAUUUCCAUUUUACUUUAUAGUACAUUCACUAUUUUAUAUAGGUUUAUAAUCCAUAAAUAUUUUAAUAAAAAAGUUAACUUUUUUAAAUUUUUAAUAGGAAUUUUGGUAAGAAAAUAUCUUACAAUGCCGUUUGUCUUUUUUCAUAAUACCCUCAGGUGCGGUUACGAGACAGGAAAGACUCUCCACAGCUGCUCAUGGAUGCAAAACACAUCUUUCCUGUCACUUUCCCCUUUAACCCAUCCUCCCUGGCCCUAGAAACCAUCCAGAUUCCAGCCAGCCUGGGCCUGGGCUUCAUUGCAAGGGUCUGAAGGGCUACCCAAGCAAAUGUAGAGAACGCAUUUCUCCUCAAAACAUGAACAGUUGUUUCCAGUGAGCUACUGAAAAUACAUUUUU